RNAcentral lists this long non-coding RNA (255 nucleotides) under Homo sapiens (human). RNAcentral describes it as "PREDICTED lncRNA (TCONS_00200912)". The record is from RNAcentral. Lineage: Eukaryota; Metazoa; Chordata; Mammalia; Primates; Hominidae.
CCUGUCCCCGAUCCGCCCCAGACAGGUCUAAGCUACCUCUUUGCACCUGGGAACUCUGUGCCUUUUGAGAGUUGAAGGCUUAAAACAACAACAACCACCACAACAAAACUAUUCACCUUUUUAUCCAAUAGAAACUAAGAUCCCCCCAUGAAGCUUGGCGUUCUCAAGGACUCCUCCUGGCAAUGAACCUACAGCGAAGACCAUGCCUUGUGAUUCAGCAGAAUUACUUUGCCCAUUUUGCUUCCUAUUUUUUUU